CCUACGGGUGGCAGCAGUGAGGAAUAUUGGUCAAUGGGCGGAAGCCUGAACCAGCCAAGUAGCGUGCAGGAUGACGGCCCUACGGGUUGUAAACUGCUUUUAUACGGGAAUAACGCGCCUUACGUGUAGGGCUUUGCAUGUACCGUAUGAAUAAGGACCGGCUAAUUCCGUGCCAGCAGCCGCGGUAAUACGGAAGGUCCGGGCGUUAUCCGGAUUUAUUGGGUUUAAAGGGAGCGUAGGCGGCAGGACAAGCGUGCUGUGAAAUGUCCGGGCUGAACCCGGGCCUUGCAGGGGGAACUGGUGAGCUUGAGUGCGCGGAAGGCAGGUGGAAUUCGUCGUGUAGCGGUGAAAUGCGUAGAUAUGACGAAGAACCCCGAUGGCGAAGGCAGCUUGCUGCAGCGGAACUGACGCUGAGGCUCGAAAGCGUGGGUAGCGAACAGGAUUAGAUACCCCGGUAGUC
Molecule: ribosomal RNA, 460 nt
Filed under: uncultured bacterium
Lineage: Bacteria
Description: partial 16S ribosomal RNA
Rfam family: Bacterial small subunit ribosomal RNA
Source: RNAcentral